Molecule: ribosomal RNA, 372 nt
Filed under: uncultured organism
Description: bacterial SSU rRNA
Rfam family: Bacterial small subunit ribosomal RNA
Source: RNAcentral
CGUAGGGUCCAAGCGUUAAUCGGAAUUACUGGGCGUAAAGCGUGCGCAGGCGGUUUUGUAAGACAGGCGUGAAAUCCCCGGGCUCAACCUGGGAACUGCGCUUGUGACUGCAAGGCUAGAGUACGGCAGAGGGGGGUGGAAUUCCACGUGUAGCAGUGAAAUGCGUAGAGAUGUGGAGGAACACCAAUGGCGAAGGCAGCCCCCUGGGUCGAUACUGACGCUCAUGCACGAAAGCGUGGGUAGCAAACAGGAUUAGAUACCCUGGUAGUCCACGCCCUAAACGAUGUCAACUAGGUGUUGGGUGGGUAAAACCAUUUAGUACCGGAGCUAACGCGUGAAGUUGACCGCCUGGGGAGUACGGCCGCAAGGUUA